GGACUGGGGCUCAGCGGUAGAGCGCUCGCCUAGCACAUGUGAGGCACUGGGUUCGAUCCUCAGCACCA
RNAcentral lists this transfer RNA (68 nucleotides) under Marmota monax (woodchuck). RNAcentral describes it as "tRNA.Ala". Lineage: Eukaryota; Metazoa; Chordata; Mammalia; Rodentia; Sciuridae. The record is from RNAcentral.